RNAcentral lists this transfer RNA (61 nucleotides) under Terebratulina retusa. Its description in RNAcentral is "transfer RNA-Cys". It matches the Rfam family "tRNA". From Rfam's summary of the family: Transfer RNA (tRNA) molecules are approximately 80 nucleotides in length. The record is from RNAcentral. Lineage: Eukaryota; Metazoa; Brachiopoda; Rhynchonellata; Terebratulida; Cancellothyrididae.
AAUUUUGUAGUUUACUAAAACAUUGAAUUGCAAAUUCAAAGAGGGGACCGCCCCAAAAUUU